This 359-nucleotide long non-coding RNA is filed under the name Ananas comosus (pineapple). RNAcentral describes it as "long non-coding RNA (ACOM_LNC010030)". The record is from RNAcentral. Lineage: Eukaryota; Viridiplantae; Streptophyta; Magnoliopsida; Poales; Bromeliaceae.
AAAUGUUAGAUAAUAAUUUAUUUUUAAACAAAUUUAAAGCAAAAAUAAAUUAUUCUUAAAUUUUUUAUUUGAGAGAAAGGUAUCAUACUAUCCGCUUCAUUUAUUUUUAUUUUUUAUAGAAAUAAAUAUAGCUGUAAAUAUAAAUCAACUAGGAUUCGAACUUGAAACAUUGGAUACCAAUCACCAAACCCUUUGCCACUUGCGUUAGGGACAGUUGGUAAAAGAUCUUGAACAAAAGGAUUGUAACCAAUCCACCAUCCACUUCCACCUCUUUGGAUAUACAAAAUUUUAUUUUAAGAAAUAAAAGAUAUAUACGAUACCAAACGAGACCUUAAUAAGAUGAUUAACUUAUUAAAUUU